Molecule: non-coding RNA, 959 nt
Filed under: Lasiurus ega (Southern yellow bat)
Lineage: Eukaryota; Metazoa; Chordata; Mammalia; Chiroptera; Vespertilionidae
Description: Dasypterus ega (Southern yellow bat) 12S ribosomal RNA
Rfam family: Bacterial small subunit ribosomal RNA
Source: RNAcentral
UAUAGGCUUGGUCCUGACCUUUCUAUUGGUUAUUAGCAAAAUUACACAUGCAAGAAUCCUCAUCCCAGUGAAAAUGCCCUCUACAUCAUUAAUGAUAAAAAGGCGCUGGCAUCAAGCACACAAAGUAGCUCAAGACGCCUUGCUCAGCCACACCCCCACGGGACACAGCAGUGAUAAAAAUUAAGCAAUAGACGAAAGUCUGACUAAGUUACGCUAUCUAAGGACUGGUAAAUCUCGUGCCAGCCACCGCGGUCAUACGAUUAGGCCAAACCAAUAGACAUUCGGCGUAAAGGGUGUUUUAGAGAUUAUACAUAAAUAAAGUUAAAACAUGACUAAGCUGUAAAAAGCUCCAGUUAUAUUUAAAUACAUCAACGAAAGUAACUUUAUGAAAUCUGACUACACAAUAGCUAAGACCCAAACUGGGAUUAGAUACCCCACUAUGCUUAGCCCUAAACAUAAAAAAUUAUAAACAAAAUUAUUCGCCAGAGUACUACUAGCCAAAGCUAAAAACUCAAAGGACUUGGCGGUGCCUUAUAUCCAUCUAGAGGAGCCUGUUCUAUAAUCGAUAAACCCCGAUCCACCUCACCAACCCUUGCCAAAUCAGCCUAUAUACCGCCAUCUUCAGCAAACCCUAAAAAGGAAGUAUAGUAAGCGCAAAUAUUGACAUAAAAACGUUAGGUCAAGGUGUAGCCUAUGGGUUGGAGAGCAAUGGGCUACAUUCCCCCAAUCCAGGGAAUCUUAUUCACGAAAACUAGUGUGAAAACCACAAGUUAAAGGUGGAUUUAGUAGUAAAUUAAGAAUAGAGUGCUUAAUUGAAUAAGGCCAUGAGGCGCGCACACACCGCCCGUCACCCUCCUCAAGUAAAACCCAUAGUAUAUCAAUAAUAAAACUAAUACAAAAGUACAAGAGGAGAUAAGUCGUAACAAGGUAAGUGUACUGGAAAGUGCACUUGGAUAACA